RNAcentral lists this ribosomal RNA (394 nucleotides) under uncultured bacterium. RNAcentral's name for it is "partial 16S ribosomal RNA". It matches the Rfam family "Bacterial small subunit ribosomal RNA", at positions 523 to 918 of the family's 1533-position model. The record is from RNAcentral.
AUACGGAGGAUGCGAGCGUUAUCCGGAUUUAUUGGGUUUAAAGGGUGCGUAGGCGGACGAUUAAGUCAGCUGUGAAAUGCCCGCGCUUAACGCGGGAAGUGCAGUUGAUACUGGUUGUCUGGAGUGCCGUUGCCGUGGGGGGAAUGUGUAGUGUGCGGUGAAAUGCAUAGAUAUUACACAGAACGCCGAUUGUGAAGACACCUCACGAAGCGGUAACAGACGCUGAGGCACGAAAGCGUGGGGAUCGAACAGGAUUAGAUACCCCGGUAGUCCUGGCAGUAAACGAUGUAUGCUGGGUGUGAGACUAUCGGUAGUUUCGUGCCGAAGGUAACGCGAUAAGCAUACCGGCUGGGGAGUACGGUCGCAAGAUUGAAACUCAAAUGAAUUGACGGGG